GACAAGGGCCGAGAGCAGCCUCAGGCCAACACCCAGAGAGGGACUGCCGCCCUCGGUCCUGCUGCUGGGGCGUGAGCUCUCGUCUGAGUCAGCCUGGAAGAGACCCCUCUCCAGAGAGGUUGUGAUGACUGCAGAUCUGGCUGUCGUCUGGACAGCAGCCUGAGCGACAGCCUGGGCCACAGGGCCCACGGAGUGGUGGCCAGGCUCCUGAAGGCUAAGGACCGAAUCUGGUCCCUCUCAAAUCUGAAUGUUGAAGGCCUAUCCUGCACUGUGAUUAUAUUUGGAGAUGUAGCCUUUAGGGAGGUAAUUGAGGUUAAAACUGAGGUCCGGGGGGGGGGGCCUGAUCUGCUAGGACUGGUGCCCUUGCCAGAGGAGCGAGAUGGACACCAGGGCUGCACGUGGAGAGAAAUGUGCAUGAGGACCGUGAGAAGGUGGCCCACGGGAGAGACUGCGAGAGGAGGUGAACCUGCUGAUACCCUCAUCUCGGCUUUCUGGCUUCCAGAACCCUGAGAGAAUAAAUAAACUUCCAGUCCGUGGUGCUGUGUUAUGAUACCCUCAGCUGACUGAUACAAGCUGCUCAGUUUGGGGGUCAUUUGUUACACAGCAAAGGACGACAAAUACAACCAUCAGCCGACACUGCGUUCCCAUUCCCUCUGGGCUGGGAGCUGGGUAGAACAAGACCAAAGCCCUGGCGCAUAAGAAUGGACCUCAGUCCUCACGGAAAGACAAACACAGAAGAAGAAGUAAAAGGCUAGGGUGGGAGAAGACCUCAGGACGAAGACACCGCUUGGGGAGACGUGGAUGCAGGAGAGACCACGACACAUCGUCCUGCCUGCUCUGUGCUCCCCCUGGGGACACAGGCUCGGCCUUCUCAGAUACAGCAUCCUCUCCACGUUGUAACUGAUACGUGGAAGCGGAAAGAGGUUAUGUUGGCUGAGGUCCCGAAGCUCAUCCCGGAGUUGCCAGGAUUCACAGGCAGGUCUGCAAGGGGAGAAGAGAAGCGCUCCUUGGAGGGUGUCAGCUCCUCAGGGGUCAGGCAGAGGGAGAAGCCAGGAGGGACACAGAGACACCGUGGGAAUGAGAGGAGGAGAUUAAUAUUUCCCCAGAAUCAAAGAUAAGAGCUUUUCAUGGUUGGAAUCGUGUUCGAUGCCCAAGACAGCUGAGACCUCAGACAGGAUGAAGCCCCCCGGCCCCGAGGGCGACCUCCAUUGGCAGCGGGGUCAUUGCUGAUGUGACUGGUUAAGGGGCCGUUGCUGGAGGAGAGCGAGCCCUGAUGAGCCCUGAAGGAGGCGCCUGUGCAGACAGACGAACAAGGAGGAGCCCCUCGCAGACCCCAGCGGAGACCGAGGUCAGGAAGGGCGGGGCACAGGGCGCCUGGGGCUUCUGGAAGCUGAAAGCGGCAAGAGGUUCUCGGGCAGGCUUCAGAGGGAGCCUUCCUGAGGCCUUGAUCUUGGACAGUAAGAGAAUAGACCUCUGCUGUUUCACCCCACUGCCAUCCUCACAAGAAUCCCAGUGUCUUACUUAAAGAAGACAAGGAGUGAAAAAUUCAAAUGAAGACCUUAACAUAUUCUUUUUGAAAACAUUCAAAAGAAUAUGUUAACUUCUUAUACAUACUGCACUACGCUUUGUCUUUAAAGCUCAGACAGUUUGCUUCAGAAAACAAAGAGAGCUUGAGUCUUGCAACAGUUUCGUGGCCACCUUGACCCAGUUUUCUCAUCGUUAAAACAUCGCCGGGACUCGACGGCUGGCUUUCACGCCCCCCACACAGCCCAGCCGCUCACACCCCAUCAUCCGUGUUUGAUUUUUACCCCAUCUGCAUCCAGAGAGGAUGUGAGGCCGUGGCAUCAAAACAACAUCAGGUUUUACGCCUUCCCAGCCCGGGAAGCCUGCAAAGACGAGACAGUAAAAUAUGUGCUAAUAAAUGGUUCUGCGUCUACUG
This is a long non-coding RNA of Phacochoerus africanus (Common warthog), 1939 nucleotides long. RefSeq lists it as uncharacterized. The transcript has 2 exons. The record is from RefSeq and is a predicted model, not a curated record. Lineage: Eukaryota; Metazoa; Chordata; Mammalia; Artiodactyla; Suidae.